RNAcentral lists this transfer RNA (74 nucleotides) under Bacteriophage sp. Its description in RNAcentral is "tRNA-OTHER". It matches the Rfam family "tRNA". From Rfam's summary of the family: Transfer RNA (tRNA) molecules are approximately 80 nucleotides in length. The record is from RNAcentral.
UGGGGUAUGGUCGUAAUUGGUUAACGGGUCUGACUCUAAAUCAGAAAUUCUGGGUUCGAGUCCCAGUACCCCGA